RNAcentral lists this small nucleolar RNA (97 nucleotides) under Capsicum annuum. RNAcentral describes it as "Small nucleolar RNA snoR99". It matches the Rfam family "Small nucleolar RNA snoR99". Lineage: Eukaryota; Viridiplantae; Streptophyta; Magnoliopsida; Solanales; Solanaceae. RNAcentral also lists the same sequence under 1 other name. The record is from Rfam by way of RNAcentral.
UUGUUUUAGGGAUGAACAAGUACUUGAUAAUUGAAUUCAUUCAUCUCUUUGUCAUCAUCACAGUGUUUGUUGUUCAUCAUUAUCGGAUAGUACAAUU